AGCCAUGCAUGUCUAAGUAUAAGCAAUUAUACAGCGAAACUGCGAAUGGCUCAUUAUAUAAGUUAUCGUUUAUUUGAUAGUACCUUACUACUUGGAUAACCGUGGUAAUUCUAGAGCUAAUACAUGCUGAAAAUCCCGACUUCGGAAGGGAGGUAUUUAUUAGAUUAAAAACCAAUGCCCUCUGGGCUCCUUGGUGAUUCAUAAUAACUUUUCGAAUCGCACGGCCUUGCGCCGGCGAUGGUUCAUUCAAAUUUCUUCCCUAUCAACUUUCGAUGUUUGGGUAUUGGCCAAACAUGGUCGCAACGGGUAACGGAGGGUUAGGGCUCGACCCCGGAGAAGGAGCCUGAGAAACGGCUACUACAUCCAAGGAAGGCAGCAGGCGCGCAAAUUACCCAAUCCCGAUUCGGGGAGGUAGUGACAAUAAAUACUGAUACAGGGCUCUUUUGGGUCUUGUAAUUGGAAUGAGUACAAUUUAAAUCUCUUAACGAGGAACAAUUGGAGGGCAAGUCUGGUGCCAGCAGCCGCGGUAAUUCCAGCUCCAAUAGCGUAUAUUAAAGUUGUUGUGGUUAAAAAGCUCGUAGUUGAACCUUGGGCCUGGCUGGCCGGUCCGCCUCACCGCGUGUACUGGUCCGGCCGGGCCUUUCCCUCUGUGGAACCUCAUGCCCUUCACUGGGUGUGGCGGGGAAACAGGACUUUUACUUUGAAAAAAUUAGAGUGCUCCAGGCAGGCCUAUGCUCGAAUACAUUAGCAUGGAAUAAUAAAAUAGGACGCGUGGUUCUAUUUUGUUGGUUUCUAGGACCGCCGUAAUGAUUAAUAGGGACAGUCGGGGGCAUCAGUAUUCAAUUGUCAGAGGUGAAAUUCUUAGAUUUAUUGAAGACUAACUACUGCGAAAGCAUUUGCCAAGGAUGUUUUCAUUAAUCAGGAACGAAAGUUAGGGGAUCGAAGACGAUCAGAUACCGUCGUAGUCUUAACCAUAAACUAUGCCGACUAGGGAUCGGACGAUGUUAUUUUUUGACGCGUUCGGCACCUUACGAGAAAUCAAAGUGCUUGGGCUCCAGGGGGAGUAUGGUCGCAAGGCUGAAACUUAAAGAAAUUGACGGAAGGGCACCACCAGGG
This 1116-nucleotide ribosomal RNA is filed under the name Beauveria rudraprayagi. RNAcentral's name for it is "SSU rRNA". It matches the Rfam family "Eukaryotic small subunit ribosomal RNA", at positions 47 to 1175 of the family's 1831-position model. Lineage: Eukaryota; Fungi; Ascomycota; Sordariomycetes; Hypocreales; Cordycipitaceae. The record is from RNAcentral.